GAUGAACGCUGGCGGCGUGCCUAACACAUGCAAGUCGAACGGAGUCCAGCCUUUAAGACCUUCGGGUCAAAGAGGGGAAGCCUGAGUGGCGGACGGGUGAGUAACACGUGGGCAACCUGGCUCAUAGAGGGGGAUAACAGAGAGAAAUUUCUGCUAAUACCGCAUAAGCACACCCUGCCGCAUGGCAGAGGGUGAAAAGAGAAUCGCUAUGAGAUGGACCCGCGUCUGAUUAGCCAGUUGGCAGGGUAAGAGCCUACCAAAGUGACGAUCAGUAGCCGAGGUCAGAGAAUGAACGGCCACUUUUGGACGAGGACACGGCCCAAACUCCUACGGGAUGCAGCAGUGGGGGAUAUUGCACAAUGGGGGGAACCCUGAUGCAGCGACGCCGCGUGAGUUCUGAAGUAUUUCGGUAUGUAAAGCUCUAUCAGCAGGGAAGAUAAUGACAGUACCUGAAUAAGAAGCCCCGGCUAACUACGUG
Molecule: ribosomal RNA, 478 nt
Filed under: uncultured bacterium
Lineage: Bacteria
Description: partial 16S ribosomal RNA
Rfam family: Bacterial small subunit ribosomal RNA
Source: RNAcentral